GGCCCGUUGGUGGGUUAGCUCAGCUGGUUAGAGCGUGGUGUUAAUAACGCCAAGGUCGUGGGUUCAAUCCCCACACUGGCUC
This is a non-coding RNA of Hemiscyllium ocellatum (epaulette shark), 82 nucleotides long. NCBI's taxonomy places the organism in Eukaryota, Metazoa, Chordata, Chondrichthyes, Orectolobiformes, Hemiscylliidae. The record is from the annotation of a RefSeq genome assembly.